Molecule: transfer RNA, 72 nt
Filed under: Ovis aries (sheep)
Lineage: Eukaryota; Metazoa; Chordata; Mammalia; Artiodactyla; Bovidae
Rfam family: tRNA
About the family: Transfer RNA (tRNA) molecules are approximately 80 nucleotides in length. Their secondary structure includes four short double-helical elements and three loops (D, anti-codon, and T loops).
Source: Rfam by way of RNAcentral
UCCCUGGUGGCUCAGAUGGUAAAGCAUCUGCUUCCAAUGCAGGAGACCCGGGUUCGAUCCCUGGGUUUGGAA